RNAcentral lists this ribosomal RNA (497 nucleotides) under uncultured bacterium. Its description in RNAcentral is "partial 16S ribosomal RNA". It matches the Rfam family "Bacterial small subunit ribosomal RNA", at positions 28 to 507 of the family's 1533-position model. The record is from RNAcentral.
GAUGAACGCUGGCGGCGUGCCUAAUACAUGCAAGUCGAGCGAACAGACGAGGAGCUUGCUCCUUUGACGUUAGCGGCGGACGGGUGAGUAACACGUGGGUAACCUACCUAUAAGACUGGGAUAACUUCGGGAAACCGGAGCUAAUACCGGAUAAUAUUUCGAACCGCAUGGUUCGAUAGUGAAAGAUGGCUCUGCUAUCACUUAUAGAUGGACCUGCGCCGCAUUAGCUAGUUGGUAAGGUAACGGCUUACCAAGGCAACGAUACGUAGCCGACCUGAGAGGGUGAUCGGCCACACUGGAACUGAGACACGGUCCAGACUCCUACGGGAGGCAGCAGUAGGGAAUCUUCCGCAAAGGGCGAAAGCCUGACGGAGCAACGCCGCGUGAGUGAUGAAGGUCUUCGGAUCGUAAAACUCUGUUAUUAGGGAAGAACAAACGUGUAAGUAACUGUGCACGUCUUGACGGUACCUAAUCAGAAAGCCACGGCUAACUACGUG